GUAGGGAAUCUUCCACAAUGGACGCAAGUCUGAUGGAGCAACGCCGCGUGAGUGAAGAAGGUCUUCGGAUCGUAAAACUCUGUUGUUAGAGAAGAACACGAGUGAGAGUAACUGUUCAUUCGAUGACGGUAUCUAACCAGCAAGUCACGGCUAACUACGUGUCAG
This 165-nucleotide ribosomal RNA is filed under the name uncultured bacterium. RNAcentral describes it as "partial 16S rRNA". It matches the Rfam family "Bacterial small subunit ribosomal RNA", at positions 354 to 511 of the family's 1533-position model. The record is from RNAcentral.